Non-coding RNA from Nomia melanderi (Alkali bee), 1093 nucleotides. The record is from RefSeq and is a predicted model, not a curated record. NCBI's taxonomy places the organism in Eukaryota, Metazoa, Arthropoda, Insecta, Hymenoptera, Halictidae.
GGAAAUGCAUGGUCAGCACGUGUCCCGGCCGCGUGAAGAUCAGCUGCGAGCAUACUACGUUAACCGAGCCGAACGCGAGAAUUCCGUUUCUCUUAGUGCUAAGGGAAGGACCAUACUUGCGGGCAAACUUUCACGUUAGUUUAUCGUCGGGUCUCUCGUCGAAGUGGACGUACUUGAUGCCGUCCGCGCCGUUGUCCAAUAUGGAGCAGUCGUUGAUGUGCGCCAUUCCGGAUGAACUGUUCACGUAGAUCCCGUAUCCUGCGAACGAAUCGAGAAAAAUGUGUCUGCACAGGAGCAUUCGGCGUGGUGACAUUAAUGCCGGUGAAGGCGGCGUGGAGAACCGAAAUCGACUCCAUCUGCGGCGGGACGCCCUCAACAUCGAUCGCGGCGGUAACAUUAUACUCCCGGCCAGUUCCUGCAUGCCUUUUAACGAAGGACAAUAUUACCAAACCGACCGAGAACGUCGCGGAAACUCGACUCGAUGCGCAAGUUAAGCUUACUCUAUCACCACGUUUCGCAGUAUCGACUUCGAGCGUCGCACGUAGAGCGUGUUCUCUUGGAUCAGCGGGUGAUCGUACAGAGCUUCCUCGAAGCGGAUUCCUCUCCAGUGUUUGAUCGCCUUCGUGGCGCCGUCGUGGCGAGUGGGAUGACUUUGCAGCGAUGGACUAAUGAUAUUUGGAACAUGAAGAAAAUAAAGUGAGAUAACUUUGCUGUGAAACAAUGAUGGACUAAUGAUAUUUGGAGCAUGAAGGAAAAAGGUACCUAGGGCCAAGUACCACCAUAACACAGUCCUGAGUAAAACGAUAACGCAGAGAUUUGGAAUUGUGUGUAUUACGUUUGGAAUCAACUGUAUCAAGACUACGAGCUAGAUACUUCCUUAUCGCUUAUCGGUGCCAUGGUGAUAUCGAUUCCAGGGAUACUUAUAACUCGCUGAUACACCAAAGGCGGUUUAUAGUUCAAAGUUUCGUUGGAAGGAGGAUCGUAAAGCAUUCUGGGAAGUGGAAUUGCUACUGUCGUUGCUCGACUCUGGCAUGCCCGUAGUAACACGUGCACAAUCGUACGUCUGGAUGAGUCAUGUUCAUUCAACGUUAGC